UACGUAGGGGGCAAGCGUUGUCCGGAUUUAUUGGGCGUAAAGCGCUCGCAGGUGGUUCGUCGCGUCGUGCGUGAAAGACCCCGGCUCAACUGGGGAGGGUCGUGCGAUACGGGCGGACUGGAGGCCAGUAGGGGGAUGCGGAAUUCCGGGUGUAGUGGUGGAAUGCGUAGAGAUCCGGAGGAACACCAGCGGCGAAGGCGGCAUCCUGGACUGGUCCUGACACUCAGGAGCGAAAGCGUGGGGAGCGAUC
Molecule: ribosomal RNA, 250 nt
Filed under: uncultured Chloroflexota bacterium
Lineage: Bacteria; Bacillati; Chloroflexota
Description: uncultured Chloroflexi bacterium partial 16S ribosomal RNA
Rfam family: Bacterial small subunit ribosomal RNA
Source: RNAcentral